Molecule: long non-coding RNA, 525 nt
Filed under: Erythranthe guttata (spotted monkey flower)
Lineage: Eukaryota; Viridiplantae; Streptophyta; Magnoliopsida; Lamiales; Phrymaceae
Description: long non-coding RNA (EGUT_LNC003925)
Source: RNAcentral
UCUCGUCAAUAUGGGUCUCGUCUGUAUAUAUAAAAUCAAUUGCACGUAAAAUUCAAGAAGAGCGGUCCAAAGAUAGAAGCCAAGUUUUAGUACAUGGGCAUGUGAAACCCGAGCAAUGAGAAAAAAAUGUCAACUAAUAGGGGCCGAGGUUCACUCAAACUUUCUAUUCUCUAAUGCUUUUUCAUUAGAAUACACAAUAUACAUAAAAUCCUUCUUCUAACUUGAUCGUCGGAGCUUCUACGUCGGCAAACCUUUUCCGGUGUUGCAAGAACGACAGCCGGCCGAAAUUCUAGUGAGGUUGAAAAUUGACGCAAGAAGAAUCAAACUGACAUCAUCAAGCAGGCGAAGCGAAUCCGAUCAAUGUUAUAUAUAUGUUUAGUUACAUUAUAACGACUGUUGCCAAAGGGAUGUAAUAGUAAUUAUGAAACUUUGAAGCUUGGUUUCGACUUUCGAUAAUUACAUGUUAGAAUUGCCAAAAUAAUACUCGGCCCAAUAUAUUUGUGGUCCUUGUAAACCAGUUAAAAG